ACCGUUGCCCUCCUUCGCAACUCUUUUUCUUUUUUCUUUUUAAAAAAACCUUGAAAACUCUGCUCGUCCAUUCGGCUUCCUGCGAUUCUUCUUCUUUCACUUACUCAUUCUCUUCCAUUCAUUGUAACUGGCGCCUCUUAUCUUCUAUUUUGAAUUUUGAAUUCUUUCUCUGAUUAUUCUUUCAUUUGUUCUCUAUUUGAUUUCUUCGUUUCUGCAACAUGCGGGUGCAGCAAUUUUCUCAGAGCGGCAAUUUCCCUCAAUGAUUAGGCGAUGCAACUUACCGGGAGUAAAGCCCUCGGUGGAGGCGACCGUACAUUUGCUUUUUCAGAAGUUUGAUUUAGGUUUUAGCCGACACAGUCCCCACUUCUCUCUUUUCUAUGCCGAGAAAGGUUAGCUGUCGCUUUUUGUUCCAUGAUUUUGCUUCAUCUCACCUGUUGAAGAGACAUUGGCCAUCUUUGGCCACAAUAAGCCUGAGAGGAGAGAUUUUUCUUCAUCUCAACCGCUCAGCAGUUCUUGAUUCAUGAAUCAUAACUUGUGCUGAUGACGCCCCUUACUUGAGUCUGUAGGUAUAUUUUUUCAGCUAUUGUCUAUUUUUGCUGGUAUGUAUCUAUCUGUAAAUUUUUUUGAAGGAACUAAUCAUUAACUCAGUCAUUUGCUUCGUUUUUUCGUACAACCUCAAAUAUGCAGUCCCUACAAAAUUUCAAGUUCAUGACUAACAACGCUGACAUGUUAAGCUGCCUACCUAUGGAGUAAAUUCAUCAUGCAGAUGCCUAUCUAUUGAUUGUCCUCAGAAAAAAAAAAAUUAUGUGCACUCUAAGUUAGUUGAUUCAAAACUAUUUUUCCUCUCUCCUCUCAGCAAAUCUACAAAUGUCUUGCUACUUCUGGGCAAAGUGGUUGCAUAUGCAUUGACAUUAACGGGUUUUCUUUAUUGCCAAGUGACACCAACCCUGAGACCUGAGGAAUCUUUAAGAUGCCUAUCUACGGAAUGUUAUGGGGUUUUUGCAGUGGUUCAGUUCCAUCCACGAUCACAAGACUGGGAUUUAGAACAAAAAGAGGCGAACACUAUCUAUAGCUGAUCAGGAGUUGGUACUUUAUCAAAUCCAGAAUAAUAUAUGCAAGUGCCACUGUUAUGAUAUCCUUUAAUCCUAACUUAUUUUUCAUUUUGGAGAAAAACCUUUAGACGUUGUUUUGUUUGGUGACACCACUCUGAAUGCUGUGAAUGACAAGAAUUCAGAUAUUGUGCCUCCUGUAGUUGUUGUCAUCAUCCAAAUGUGUGUUUUGGGAUUCUACAAAGGUGAAUCUGUUAUUUUUCCUUAUUCUUCAUUCUUAAUUUAUCAGCCCAGCAUUUUUUAAAAUGUUAUUUCCUUCACUUCUAGGCAAUCCUCAACUUUCAAGCUAUGGUGAUGCUACUGAGGUUUUUUAUAAUGAUGACAGAAUAAUUUAAUCAGAAAAAACUGUUCAAGAGUUGCUUGCUUAGGUUUGCAGAAUAAUUUAAUCAGAAAUUAUCCUUCAUCAGACAGGUAGACAAGUUGAUACUAUCAAUUCCUACAGGAUUCAUGUGUAUACGAUAUUUUUUCCCCGGAGUUCAAGGAAAAGAUAUUUCCCUAGAACACUUCAUAUUCUUACUGGAAGAGAGAUGGUCAUGAGGUCAAGAUCGGUGAAUUCAACCUUCGGCAUAAAACAUCUUCUCUUAGUGUGUCUCAAUGCUGUGAUGACCCAGAGAUCCUGGAGAAGUCUACAUACUCCAAAGCACAGGCUUCUAUUUUCGCCUCAUUUGACAAUGAUCAGCUCCUUUCCUCUCUAAGGAACUUCCUGUCAUGACAGUCUCCCCAUCUAUGUGUUCCUGAAUCAUACUGUCUUCACCAACGCUAUGCAAUGGCCAAUAACAAUGGUAUGGUUCUUUUUAUUCUUCUGUUCUUUGCACUAAUUUCAUUAAACUAACAUCUGACUACUCCCAUAAAAAAAAAAAAAAAAACAGAUCAUUGACAUCUCUGGUCAAGAAAAGAAAGGCUGCCAGAAUAAACAAAUUAAGAAGCCAGGAAUAUUGAAUUGUAAACAAAUUAAGAAUAAACAAUUUUUUUCCUUAUCCUAUAACAUAUCUAUUCGUUCGCGGGUAUUUAUUAAGGAAAAAUGUUUUCCAAUGUUGAAUUGUUAGUAUCAAUAUCAUUAAUAACAAUGUAUUUACCUAUGUAAAGUCCUUUAUUACAAUCCUUAUAUUCUGUGUUGUUUAUGCAUAAAUAAUUUCUUUAUGAAUUUAUUGAGUAUUGGAAAUUAUUACGUAAUAAUGAAAUAAAUAACAUCACAUCACAAACUUCAACAGCUUUGUAAUUGAAACGCAAAAAUAAAAUAUUAAAUAAUAUUUAAUUAGAUCAACUUAAUCAAGACACUUUUCACAAGUAAAGAUGAUCGUGUUUUACUAAGGGUAAUUUUAAUUAUUUACAAUACAAAUUAACCUUAAGAUUCUUAAUGUUAAGUAUUUUUACUAAAUAAAUUUAUUAACUGAAUCCAUCUAAUAAGAAAACAUAUUCGUAUGUUUUGAUUUGCGUACUAAACACUGCAGAAUUUGUAUAGUUUUCCCCAAUUUAUUCGUAUCAUAUUAAUUGUGUAUACUAAUGAGUUGUAUAAUCAUUGACAUCAAAACAAUUAGUUGAUAUAGUUAUUAUUAAGCAUUAAAAACUCAGAUUCAUAUUCAUUGACUUUUUUUUUUUUUAAAAUUGUUUGGACUAAUUUAAAUGAUGCUACUCUUUCAUAAUGGAGUGAUCGUAAGAUAGAGGCACUUGAGGAUAAAAGAAUUUGAAAUCUUUACAUUCUUAUUAGUAAGCUUUGCAUGAUAUUUUUGUUGUAAUGUUUUAACAACUAUCUUCUUCGGUGAUUGGCAUAAAGGGUAGAAAGGGAUUCCUUGCUAUUUAAGUGAUUUUCUUCAUUUCUUAAUUGAUUCUCCUAUAGGAAACACCUUAUAAGGAGCGGGACAGUGACAAAGACUAAUUGAUCUAAAAUUGAAGAGCAUACUGCAUGUAAUAGAUAUUUGUACCAUAUAUCGUUAUUUGUUAUUUUUAUUAAUGUAUGAAUUUAAUGGUUUCUCAUACAAAUACUUCUACCACAUCAUUCAUAAUGAUCAUAUGUAGUUAGUUUAUUUUUAAGAUUUGACCAUGAUUUUUUUUUAUAUCAAAUCUUAUUGUUUUUUUUUAUAUUGAUUGUACAUUUGGAAAAUGUAAGUUAAGGGGGAAAAGUAGAUAUACUUCUAGAAUUGUCUUCAAUGUAGUGGUAUUAUUAUUGUUAUUAUUAUUAUUAAAUAUUGAUGCCUAAGAUGCUUCACUCAAUUCUCUUGUGUAUAAUCCGUGCAAUGCACGAGAGCCAGUCUAUUGGGGGGGGGGGGUGGAAGAAAAUGUUCAGAGUGGAAUAUUUACCUGCAUACGGUCUAUUGCAUGAGAAAGUAGCAUUAGAGAAUGGUCGAUGUAGUUUGUUCUUCUCUUUUUGGCGAAACAUAGUUGGAUUAGAACCUUGGUUAUCAGUGGUGGGGAUACUUUACCGGUUUGUUGCAGGAUAUGGUAUCCGAUUAUUAUAUGCGGAAGCUAGAGGAGGUCAAUGGAUUUCAACCAAGUAUGCUAUAUUUCCUGCUUUUACCUUCCAUGAGGCAGUUGAGAUUAUAAAAGUAUUAUCAAGUGCUUGUACACGUUGAGGAGCCAAUUUAUAAAGGGUUGAUGAGCAAAUAGGAUCUUGAAUUAUUGUUGGAAAAUCGUCCUGAAUUCUGAACUCUUAAAAUGUACAAAAUAAACUCUAAACUUUUAAAUUUAUAACAAAAUAAAUUCUGAUAGCUAACUUUUUAACACUGUUACCGUCUAUGUAGGUACUGUUCAGGCUUUAUUUUUUAUGAAUUUAACUCUGACUGUUACAAUAUCUGUAUGGACAAAAACGGUGUUAAAAAAGUUAUUAGGGUUUAUUUUGCUAUAAAUUUAAAAGUUUAGGGUUUAUUUUACAUAUUUUAAGAAUUCAAGGUUUAGGGCAAUUUCGAAUAAGAGUUCAAGAUUUUAUUCACUCAUUAACCUAUUUAUAAAUAAUGUGGGUGUUGUGUGCCACAGCAAUGUGUUAACCAUGCUGAGUUUGAUAAUUUUUAAAAGCUCUUGAUCUGUUUACACACUGAGAUUAAUAAUGAGAUUGCUCAUUUCAAUUGACAAA
Prosopis cineraria is the source of this 4176-nucleotide long non-coding RNA. RefSeq lists it as uncharacterized. Lineage: Eukaryota; Viridiplantae; Streptophyta; Magnoliopsida; Fabales; Fabaceae. The transcript is spliced from 6 exons. The record is from RefSeq and is a predicted model, not a curated record.